GACGAACGCUGGCGGCGUGCUUAACACAUGCAAGUCGAACGGAAAGGCCCUGCUUUUGUGGGGUGCUCGAGUGGCGAACGGGUGAGUAACACGUGAGUAACCUGCCCUUGACUUUGGGAUAACUUCAGGAAACUGGGGCUAAUACCGGAUAGGAGCUCCUGCUGCAUGGUGGGGGUUGGAAAGUUUCGGCGGUUGGGGAUGGACUCGCGGCUUAUCAGCUUGUUGGUGGGGUAGUGACUUACCAAGGCUUUGACGGGUAGCCGGCCUGAGAGGGUGACCGGCCACAUUGGGACUGAGAUACGGCCCAGACUCCUACGGGAGGCAGCAGUGGGGAAUAUUGCACAAUGGGCGGAAGCCUGAUGCAGCAACGCCGCGUGCGGGAUGACGGCCUUCGGGUUGUAAACCGCUUUCGCCUGUGACGAAGCGUGAGUGACGGUAAUGGGUAAAGAAGCACCGGCUAACUACGUG
RNAcentral lists this ribosomal RNA (468 nucleotides) under uncultured bacterium. RNAcentral's name for it is "partial 16S ribosomal RNA". It matches the Rfam family "Bacterial small subunit ribosomal RNA", at positions 28 to 507 of the family's 1533-position model. The record is from RNAcentral.